RNAcentral lists this transfer RNA (67 nucleotides) under chicken gut metagenome. It matches the Rfam family "tRNA". Rfam says of the family: Transfer RNA (tRNA) molecules are approximately 80 nucleotides in length. Their secondary structure includes four short double-helical elements and three loops (D, anti-codon, and T loops). Further hydrogen bonds mediate the characteristic L-shaped molecular structure. tRNAs have two regions of fundamental functional importance: the anti-codon, which is responsible for specific mRNA codon recognition, and the 3' end, to which the tRNAs corresponding amino acid is attached (by aminoacyl-tRNA synthetases). tRNAs cope with the degeneracy of the genetic code in two manners: having more than one tRNA (with a specific anti-codon) for a particular amino acid; and 'wobble' base-pairing, i.e. permitting non-standard base-pairing at the 3rd anti-codon position. The record is from RNAcentral.
AACGUAGCUCAGGCGGUAGAGCAAUUGAUUCGUAAUCAAUAGGUCGCGAGUUCGAGUCUCGCCGUUA